This 301-nucleotide ribosomal RNA is filed under the name uncultured bacterium. Its description in RNAcentral is "partial 16S ribosomal RNA". It matches the Rfam family "Bacterial small subunit ribosomal RNA", at positions 509 to 807 of the family's 1533-position model. The record is from RNAcentral.
CAGUAGCCGCGGGAAUACGAAGGGGGCUAGCGUUGCUCGGAAUGACUGGGCGUAAAGGGCGCGUAGGCGGUUGACACAGUCAGAUGUGAAAUUCCUGGGCUUAACCUGGGGGCUGCAUUUGAGACGUCAAGACUAGAGUGUGAGAGAGGGUUGUGGAAUUCCCAGUGUAGAGGUGAAAUUCGUAGAUAUUGGGAAGAACACCGGUGGCGAAGGCGGCAACCUGGCUCAUUACUGACGCUGAGGCGCGAAAGCGUGGGGAGCAAACAGGAUUAGAUACCCCAGUAGUCCCUGUCUCUUAUAC